AGGGUUCGAUUAUGGCUCAGGAUGAACGCUGGCGGCGUGCUUAACACAUGCAAGUCGAACGAACCUUCGGGUUAGUGGCGGACGGGUGAGUAACGCGUGAGAAUCUGCCCUCAGGAGGGGGACAACAGCUGGAAACGGCUGCUAAUACCCCAUAUGCCGCGAGGUGAAAUGAAUUUCGCCUGAGGAUGAGCUCGCGUCUGAUUAGCUAGUUGGUGUAGGUAAUGGCUCACCAAGGCAUCGAUCAGUAGCUUUUCUGAGAGAGUAUGAAUUCAGGCCACACUGUGACUGAGACACGGUCCAGACUCCUACGGGAGGCAGCAGUUGGGAAUUUUCGGCAAUGGGCGAAAGCCUGACGGAGCAUCGCCGCGUGAGGGAUGAAGGCCUCUGGGCUGUAAACCUCUUUUAUCAAGGAAGAAGAUCUGACGGUACUUGAUGAAUAAGCCACGGCUAAUUCCGUGCCAGCAGCCGCGGUGAUACGGGAGUGGCAAGCGUUAUCCGGAAUUAUUGGGCGUAAAGCGUCCGCAGGCGGCCCUUCAAGUCUGCUGUUAAAAAGUGGAGCUUAACUCCAUCAUGGCAGUGGAAACUGUUGGGCUUGAGUGUGGUAGGGGCAGAGGGAAUUCCCGGUGUAGCGGUGAAAUGCGUAGAUAUCGGGAAGAACACCAGUGGCGAAGGCGCUCUGCUGGGCCAUCACUGACGCUCAUGGACGAAAGCCAGGGGAGCGAAAGGGAUUAGAUACCCCUGUAGUCCUGGCCGUAAACGAUGAACACUAUGUGUCGGGGGAAUCGACCCCCUCGGUGUCGUAGCCAACGCGUUAAGUGUUCCGCCUGGGGGAGUACGCACGCAAGUGUGAAACUCAAAGGAAUUGACGGGGGCCCGCACAAGCGGUGGAGUAUGCGGUUUAAUUCGAUGCAACGCGAAGAACCUUACCAGGGUUUGACAUCCUGCGAAUCUUCUUGGAAACAGGAGAGUGCCUUCGGGAACGCAGUGACAGGUGGUGCAUGGCUGUCGUCAGCUCGUGUCGUGAGAUGUUGGGUUAAGUCCCGCACCGAGCGCAACUCACGGUCUUUAGUUGGCAGCAUUUAGUUGGGCACUCUAGAAGAGACUGCCGGUGAUAAAUCGGAGGAAUGUGUGGAUGACGUCAAGUCUAUCAUAGUCUCUUACAUCCCUGGGCUACACACGUACUACAAUGCUACGGACAAAGGGCAGCAAGUUCGCGAGGACAAGCAAAUCCCAUAAACCGUGGCUCAGUUCAGAUCGUAGGCUGCAACUCGCCUACGUGAAGGCGGAAUCGCUAGUAAUCGCAGGUCAGCAUACUGCGGUGAAUACGUUCCCGGGCCUUGUACACACCGCCCGUCACACCAUGGAAGUUGGCCACGCCCGAAGCCGUUACUCCAACCCUUGUGGAGGAGGACGUCGAAGGUGGGGCUGAUGACUGGGGUGAAGUCGUAACAAGGUAGCC
Molecule: ribosomal RNA, 1459 nt
Filed under: uncultured bacterium
Lineage: Bacteria
Description: bacterial SSU rRNA
Rfam family: Bacterial small subunit ribosomal RNA
Source: RNAcentral